Molecule: ribosomal RNA, 496 nt
Filed under: uncultured bacterium
Lineage: Bacteria
Description: partial 16S ribosomal RNA
Rfam family: Bacterial small subunit ribosomal RNA
Source: RNAcentral
AUGAACGCUGGCGGCGUGCCUCAUACAUGCAAGUCGAGCGAACAGACGAGGAGCUUGCUCCUUUGACGUUAGCGGCGGACGGGUGAGUAACACGUGGAUAACCUACCUAUAAGACUGGGAUAACUUCGGGAAACCGGAGCUAAUACCGGAUAACAUGUUGAACCGCAUGGUUCAACAGUGAAAGACGGUCUUGCUGUCACUUAUAGAUGGAUCCGCGCCGCAUUAGCUAGUUGGUAAGGUAACGGCUUACCAAGGCAACGAUGCGUAGCCGACCUGAGAGGGUGAUCGGCCACACUGGAACUGAGACACGGUCCAGACUCCUACGGGAGGCAGCAGUAGGGAAUCUUCCGCAAUGGGCGAAAGCCUGACGGAGCAACGCCGCGUGAGUGAAGAAGGCCUUCGGAUCGUAAAACUCUGUUAUUAGGGAAGAACAAAUGUGUAAGUAACUAUGCACGUCUUGACGGUACCUAAUCAGAAAGCCACGGCUAACUACGUG